AUACGAAAGGUGCAAGCGCUGUUCGGAUUUACUGGGCGUAAAGAGAGUGUAGGUUGUUUAUUAAGUCGGAUGUGAAAUCCCGGGGCUCAACCUCGGAACUGCAUUCGAUACUGGUAGACUAGAGUUCGGGAGGGGUAAGCGGAAUUCCGUGUGUAGCAGUGAAAUGCGUAGAUAUACGGAGGAACACCUGAGGCGAAGGCGGCUUACUGGACCGAUACUGACACUGAGACUCGAAAGCGUGGGUAGCAAACAGGAUUAGAUACCCUAGUAGUCC
RNAcentral lists this ribosomal RNA (274 nucleotides) under uncultured bacterium. RNAcentral describes it as "partial 16S ribosomal RNA". It matches the Rfam family "Bacterial small subunit ribosomal RNA", at positions 523 to 796 of the family's 1533-position model. The record is from RNAcentral.